AUUCUAUCCCGGUGCUCAAGUUCUUCAGGAGCACCUCAGUGUCUCCCUCUGCCCACCCACCUGCACCUGACAACUGUGGGCUGUGCUCUCAUGGAGGCACCGUCGGACGCUACCAGACUACAGAGGUGAGCGCCCUUAAUCCUGACUGAAGGUUUGGGAAAAGGCUUCUCAGAAGAGGUGAUACUUGAUACGGGCCCUGGAGGAGGAAGAACAGUUUGAGAAGACAGCAGUGAGAGAUGGCAUCCGGGCAGGCGAGAAAUGCAAAGGGAAGAGAGGUCAUCCAGGACAAAAGUACAGAAUUAAAAGAAAAAGCAACUAAGCACGAAAUCUUGGAGAAUGUCCUCAUUGAAGGGUGAGCAGAUGAAGAGGAGCCCACAAAAGAGACUGAGGAAUUGUCUUCAUUCACUCAUUCAUGCAUGCAUUCAUUUGGUCAACAAAUAUUUUUUGGCACCUCCCAUGGACAGGUCCUGAGCACCAAGGGAACAGUCAGAAAUGAUGAGUCCAGAAAUGAUGCCCUCCAGAACUUCCGGUGAGGAAGGCACUCAGGAAAAUGCAGCACCCUAUGGAGGCCCAGGAAGGAGGGCAUUCAGGAAGAACACAGUCUGAUGGUGUCAAGUGCAGUGGAAGCUAAGAGAUACGUUAUAUGUGCUCAUGUAGAUCGUCUGGCAAUUAGCUGCAAGAGGAUUAUAGGAAGAGAUUCUACCUAUCCAUCUCUUUACACCAUGCCUUCUGAAGAGAAUGUCCGUGACGUUCAGAGAGAAUCCUUGGAUUUAGUCAGGAAUAUUAGAUCCCUAAAUAAAAAUGUCUAAAAUCCUU
This is a long non-coding RNA of Pongo pygmaeus (Bornean orangutan), 816 nucleotides long. RefSeq lists it as uncharacterized. Lineage: Eukaryota; Metazoa; Chordata; Mammalia; Primates; Hominidae. The transcript is spliced from 3 exons. The record is from RefSeq and is a predicted model, not a curated record.